RNAcentral lists this transfer RNA (74 nucleotides) under Firmicutes bacterium i23-0019-B6. RNAcentral describes it as "tRNA-Arg". It matches the Rfam family "tRNA". From Rfam's summary of the family: Transfer RNA (tRNA) molecules are approximately 80 nucleotides in length. Their secondary structure includes four short double-helical elements and three loops (D, anti-codon, and T loops). RNAcentral also lists the same sequence under 1 other name. The record is from RNAcentral. Lineage: Bacteria; Bacillati; Bacillota.
UGCGUUUGUAGCUCAGGGGAUAGAGCGCUGCCCUCCGGAGGCAGGAGCGGCGGUUCGAAUCCGCCCAGACGCGA